RNAcentral lists this unclassified non-coding RNA (473 nucleotides) under Hevea brasiliensis (rubber tree). The record is from RNAcentral. Lineage: Eukaryota; Viridiplantae; Streptophyta; Magnoliopsida; Malpighiales; Euphorbiaceae.
UAUCUAUUCUUGGAGCAUUAUGUGCCAUCAUGUGGGUUUUGGCCGGAGCUAGAAUGUUGGGGAGAGCUAUCUUCUCCUGAAAUUAUAUAUAUGGGAAGUUUUUGUUUGUCUGGGGCACUGGUGUUAGGGAAAUUGAGAAUAGAAGCUAAUCCAUUAUUUAGUUUCAAGGAUUCCAAUAUUCAAACGUAAAUUUUGAAAUGCAAAGACGAAGUUUUUGUCAUUAGGGAGGGGUAAGUGCUCCAGAUAGCAACAGGAGGCUACAUAUUUCCUUUAUAUUGUAUGUCAAUCUUGAUGCGUAGCUGCUUAUUUGUGUGUUCUUUGUACAAUUGUCCACGUUCGCUAUUGAUUCAGUUCAGGUUCUAGUGUCUCUGGGUUGUGUACAUAUAUAAAAAGGGUGGGGUGUUAGGAUUUUGUUGUCCUUGUGGUUAUAUUAUGAUUAAAAUUUUCUUGAAUGGUGACUGACUAGCGAAUUU